AGCACCUGCACCUGGGGCCCUUCCAGAUCUUCACCUGACUGUUCAUUUGAAACCUUUAUAAUAAACCAGCAACAGUAAGUGAACAGUUUUCCUGGGUUCUCUGAGCUGUUCCAGGAAAUGAUUAAACCUGAGGAAGGGCGGUGCAAACCUCCAAUCUACAGCCAAGUCAGACAGAAGUUGUGGGUACGCUGCAGACCUACCACUUGCAACUGGCACCCGAAGGAGUGUGAGGCCAACAGGAGGAAGAUGGAGGACUAGGAUGUCAGAGACUAUCUCCCAAGUGCUGAAAAUGCUUCCAGGUUCAUCCUGCAGGGCAGAUGUGAUGGUUGGAGUUCCAGCACCUAUUGUAGACCAUGCAGGUGGUGGAGAAGAAAGGAGGAUCCUAGGCCCCUCAUGCCCACGAAGCCACCACAUCAGUUGGGACUGCAUUUCCCUGCAUUUCUUUUAUAUGAGAGAACAAACAACCCCUUAUGUUGAAGCUAUUGUAGUCAAUCCUGAGCUGAUAAAAUGGGUGAACUCUCAUGAGGUGCUUUUCUCAUGUGAGGACUUGUGUGAAAAGGCCAGAAGACAUUGUUUUUGAGACCUCUUUAAUUGCAAGAGAUACCAAGUCCUAUUCAGCUGUAAAAUUUAGGACCAUCUUAGAUUUUUGUUAUAAGUCCCUGAAUAAAUCACUGUAAGAAGUAAAAGAUUAUAAAAAUUUU
Long non-coding RNA from Suricata suricatta (meerkat), 701 nucleotides. RefSeq lists it as uncharacterized. The transcript is spliced from 3 exons. The record is from RefSeq and is a predicted model, not a curated record. NCBI's taxonomy places the organism in Eukaryota, Metazoa, Chordata, Mammalia, Carnivora, Herpestidae.